GGAAAGUUUUUUCGGUUGGGGAUGGGCUCGCGGCCUNUUCAGUUUGUUGGUGAGGUAAUGGCUCACCAAGACGACGACGGGUAGCCGGCCUGAGAGGGCGACCGGCCACACUGGGACUGAGACACGGCCCAGACUCCUACGGGAGGCAGCAGUGGGGAAUAUUGCACAAUGGGGGAAACCCUGAUGCAGCGACGCAGCGUGCGGGAUGACGGCCUUCGGGUUGUAAACCGCUUUCAGCAGGGAAGAAGCCCCUUGGGGUGACGGUACCUGCAGAAGAAGUACCGGCUAACUACGUGCCAGCAGCCGCGGUAAUACGUAGGGUACAAGCGUUGUCCGGAAUUAUUGGGCGUAAAGAGCUCGUAGGUGGUUGGUCACGUCUGCUGUGGAAACGCAACGCCUAACGUUGCGCGUGCAGUGGGUACGGGCUGACUAGAGUGCAGUAGGGGAGUCUGGAAUUCCUGGUGUAGCGGUGAAAUGCGCAGAUAUCAGGAGGAACACCGGUGGCGAAGGCGGGACUCUGGGCUGUAACUGACACUGAGGAGCGAAAGCAUGGGGAGCGAACAGGAUUAGAUACCCUGGUAGUCCAUGCCGUAAACGUUGGGCACUAGGUGUGGGGGACAUUCCACGUUCUCCGCGCCGUAGCUAACGCAUUAAGUGCCCCGCCUGGGGAGUACGGUCGCAAGGCUAAAACUCAAAGGAAUUGACGGGGGCCCGCACAAGCGGCGGAGCAUGCGGAUUAAUUCGAUGCAACGCGAAGAACCUUACCAAGGCUUGACAUACACCAGACCGUUCUGGAAACAGUUCCUCCCCUUUGGGGUUGGUGUACAGGUGGUGCAUGGUUGUCGUCAGCUCGUGUCGUGAGAUGUUGGGUUAAGUCCCGCAACGAGCGCAACCCUCGUUCUAUGUUGCCAGCACGUGAUGGUGGGAACUCAUAGGAGACUGCCGGGGUCAACUCGGAGGAAGGUGGGGAUGACGUCAAAUCAUCAUGCCCUUUAUGUCUUGGGCUUCACGCAUGCUACAAUGGCUGGUACAGAGAGAUGCGAGACCGCGAGGUUUUAGCGAAUCCCUUAAAGCCAGUCUCAGUUCGGAUCGUAGUCUGCAAUUCGACUACGGAAGUCGGAGUCGCUAGUAAUCGCAGAUCA
Molecule: ribosomal RNA, 1142 nt
Filed under: uncultured bacterium
Lineage: Bacteria
Description: bacterial SSU rRNA
Rfam family: Bacterial small subunit ribosomal RNA
Source: RNAcentral